RNAcentral lists this ribosomal RNA (484 nucleotides) under uncultured bacterium. Its description in RNAcentral is "partial 16S ribosomal RNA". It matches the Rfam family "Bacterial small subunit ribosomal RNA", at positions 30 to 507 of the family's 1533-position model. The record is from RNAcentral.
AUUGAACGCUGGCGGCAGGCCUAACACAUGCAAGUCGGGCGGAUGAAGGGAGCUUGCUCCUGGAUUCAGCGGCGGACGGGUGAGUAAUGCCUAGGAAUCUGCCUGGUAGUGGGGGAUAACGUCCGGAAACGGGCGCUAAUACCGCAUACGUCCUGAGGGAGAAAGUGGGGGAUCUUCGGACCUCACGCUAUCAGAUGAGCCUAGGUCGGAUUAGCUAGUUGGUGGGGUAAAGGCCUACCAAGGCGACGAUCCGUAACUGGUCUGAGAGGAUGAUCAGUCACACUGGAACUGAGACACGGUCCAGACUCCUACGGGAGGCAGCAGUGGGGAAUAUUGGACAAUGGGCGAAAGCCUGAUCCAGCCAUGCCGCGUGUGUGAAGAAGGUCUUCGGAUUGUAAAGCACUUUAAGUUGGGAGGAAGGGCAGUAAGUUAAUACCUUGCUGUUUUGACGUUACCAACAGAAUAAGCACCGGCUAACCUCGUG